Molecule: long non-coding RNA, 308 nt
Organism: Neofelis nebulosa (Clouded leopard)
Lineage: Eukaryota; Metazoa; Chordata; Mammalia; Carnivora; Felidae
Exons: 2
Source: RefSeq, a predicted model, not a curated record
CCCUCCCCUCCCCCACCAGUCCCAGUGACCUAUUGCUCCUAUAGGGACUGGCUCUUUCUGGUUGGCAGGAUUCAAUAAUGGGAUGGAUGAGAGUUCUGGGGCAUAAAUAAAAGGAUGAGCUGAUGGUCUGUCCAUGGAACUUCUGAGAACCAACAGGAAGAUAACUGUGAUUGUACCUAAAUGCUACAAUUAAUUUGACGAAGUGGGGCUUAGAAGAACCCAGUUAGGAAAGAGCAGGUUUCAAUGAAAAGAAAGAAACAUCACUUCAACAUAUAUAUGUUAAUAAACUUUUUUGUGUCUAUGCCAUA